Molecule: ribosomal RNA, 466 nt
Filed under: Acanthamoeba sp. AG-2012
Lineage: Eukaryota; Discosea; Longamoebia; Acanthamoebidae
Description: bacterial SSU rRNA
Rfam family: Eukaryotic small subunit ribosomal RNA
Source: RNAcentral
UAACUUAGCGUAAGCCUCGCCGGAGGACGUUUUCCUUAAUCAAAAUUAAAGUUUGGGGGUCGAUCACGUUCAGAUACAGUCGUAGUCUUAACCAUAACCGACCCCGAGCCAGGGAAGUCGUAGACUUCAAAAAAACAUCGCCAUGGUCGCGGUCGUCCUUGGCCCUUUUGAUCGGGCACAGAGGCGCGAGGGCGGUUUAGCCCGAUGGCACCGGUGAAUGACUCCCCUAGCAGCUUGUGAGAAAUCAUAAGUCUUUGGGUUCCGGGGGGAGUAUGGUCGCAAGGCUGAAACUUAAAGGAAUUGACGGAAGGGCACCACCAGGAGUGGAGCCUGCGGCUUAAUUUGACUCAACACGGGGAAACUUACCAGGUCCGGACAUAGUAAGGAUGACAGAUGAUAGCUCUGUCUGAUUCUAUGGGUGGUUUUUCAUGGCCGGAGAGUUGGUGGAGUGAUAUCUGUAUCACGG